Molecule: unclassified non-coding RNA, 293 nt
Filed under: uncultured fungus
Lineage: Eukaryota; Fungi
Description: partial contains 5.8S ribosomal RNA, internal transcribed spacer 2, and large subunit ribosomal RNA
Source: RNAcentral
AACGCACAUUGCGCCCGCUAGUAUUCUGGCGGGCAUGCCUGUUCGAGCGUCAUUUCAACCCUCAAGCCCCGCGUUUUCCGGGGCUUGGUCGUUGGGGAUCGGCCCUCCGCCCGUGCGGCGAAGUGGGGGCCGGCCCCGAAAGUCAGUGGCGGCUCCGCCGUAGCAUCCCCUGCGUAGUAGAAACCUCGCACCGGAUCUCGGCGCGGCCACGCCGUAAAAAAAAAAAAUCUGCCCCCGCAGAUUUGACUCCAAAGGUUGACCUCGGAUCAGGUAGGAAUACCCGCUGAACUUAA